Molecule: ribosomal RNA, 311 nt
Filed under: Stygnus pectinipes
Lineage: Eukaryota; Metazoa; Arthropoda; Arachnida; Opiliones; Stygnidae
Description: partial small subunit ribosomal RNA
Source: RNAcentral
CCCUAGUAUAAAUUAAUAAAUAUAAUUAUUAUGUAAAGAAAUUUAAAAUUUUUGGCGGUUAAUUAAUAAUUAGAGGAGCUUGUUUUUUAUAGAAUUUACUCUUUAUAUUUUAUAAAUUUUUAGCCUAUUUAUCUCCGUUAUAAUUACUCUUAAAAUAAAACUUAAGUUUCUAUUUCAGGUCAAGAUGUAGCAUAAAUUUGAAAUAAUUAGCUACAAUUAUAUAAUAACAAAAGAUUUUUUUAACAUACUCUGCAAGAUGAAUUUAACUGUAAUAUAUUUUAUAAAAAAUAUUUGAAAAUUUAUAAUUAAUG